This 240-nucleotide long non-coding RNA is filed under the name Nicotiana benthamiana. Its description in RNAcentral is "long non-coding RNA (NBEN_LNC042337)". The record is from RNAcentral. Lineage: Eukaryota; Viridiplantae; Streptophyta; Magnoliopsida; Solanales; Solanaceae.
CUCUCUACUUUCUCUCUCUAAAAUUCUUCGAUCUUUUGCAUGUUUUCACAUAUAUCCAGAUGCUACAUUAACUAAUAACAUAACGAAAAAGACUCAUGACUGCUAGACUUUUAUUUUGACGAGGUACAACCAAGAACAUUUAUACUUUAUUGGCUGCAAGGAUCACUCAUUCAGUAUUUAACACAUAUCAAGUAAUGUAACAUUUUCAUUGUAAAAGUACUUUAGGUCAGCAUCAUAGAG